RNAcentral lists this ribosomal RNA (492 nucleotides) under uncultured bacterium. Its description in RNAcentral is "partial 16S ribosomal RNA". It matches the Rfam family "Bacterial small subunit ribosomal RNA", at positions 29 to 507 of the family's 1533-position model. The record is from RNAcentral.
AGUGAACGCUGGCGGUAGGCCUAACACAUGCAAGUCGAACGGCAGCACAGUAAAAGCUUGCUCUUACGGGUGGCGAGUGGCGGACGGGUGAGGAAUACAUCGGAAUCUACUUUUUCGUGGGGGAUAACGUAGGGAAACUUACGCUAAUACCGCAUACGACCUACGGGUGAAAGCAGGGGAUCUUCGGACCUUGCGCGAUUGAAUGAGCCGAUGUCGGAUUAGCUAGUUGGCGGGGUAAAGGCCCACCAAGGCGACGAUCCGUAGCUGGUCUGAGAGGAUGAUCAGCCACACUGGAACUGAGACACGGUCCAGACUCCUACGGGAGGCAGCAGUGGGGAAUAUUAGACGAUGGGCGCAAGCCUGAUCCAGCCAUACCGCGUGGGUGAAGAAGGCCUUCGGGUUGUAAAGCCCUUUUGUUGGGAAAGAAAAGCAGCAGGUUAAUACCCCGCUGUUCUGACGGUACCCAAAGAAUAAGCACCGGCUAACUUCGUG